RNAcentral lists this ribosomal RNA (502 nucleotides) under uncultured Glomus. RNAcentral's name for it is "SSU rRNA". It matches the Rfam family "Eukaryotic small subunit ribosomal RNA", at positions 569 to 1075 of the family's 1831-position model. Lineage: Eukaryota; Fungi; Glomeromycota; Glomeromycetes; Glomerales; Glomeraceae. The record is from RNAcentral.
AGCAGCCGCGGUAAUUCCAGCUCCAAUAGCGUAUAUUAAAGUUGUUGCAGUUAAAAAGCUCGUAGUUGAAUUUCGGGAUCAAUACGUCGGUCGUGCCUCCGGUAUGUACUGGUGUUAUUGAUUUCUCCCUUCUGAUGAACCAUGAUGUCAUUAAUUUGAUGUUGUGGGGAGUCAGGACUGUUACUUUGAAAAAAUUAGAGUGUUUAAAGCAGGCUUACGCUUGAAUACAUUAGCAUGGAAUAAUGAAAUAGGACGUUCGAUCCUAUUUUGUUGGUUUCUAGGAUCAACGUAAUGAUUAAUAGGGAUAGUUGGGGGCAUUAGUAUUCAAUUGUCAGAGGUGAAAUUCUUGGAUUUAUUGAAGACUAACUACUGCGAAAGCAUUUGCCAAGGAUGUUUUCAUUAACCAAGAACGAAAGUUAGGGGAUCGAAGACGAUCAGAUACCGUCGUAGUCUUAACCAUAAACUAUGCCGACUAGGGAUCGGAUGAUGUUAAUUUUUUAAU